CGGGUUGAAGUAUAGUUGUAGUUAGUUUAAUACUAGAAGAACAAACAUUAAUUACAUAAUUGUGAGAGUGAAAAAAAGAGGAGCAUGUGGAUCAGUUAGCCAUAUGUGAAAUAUGACAUAUCAGCCAUGGAUUGAGAUAUGAUUUAUGGUUGCCAGUCAUGGAUAGAAGUAUGGUGUGUAUUUGGCUUGCCACAGACUGGAGCAUAGUUGUGACUAGUCCAGUGCUA
RNAcentral lists this long non-coding RNA (227 nucleotides) under Elaeis guineensis (African oil palm). RNAcentral's name for it is "long non-coding RNA (EGUI_LNC001106)". The record is from RNAcentral. Lineage: Eukaryota; Viridiplantae; Streptophyta; Magnoliopsida; Arecales; Arecaceae.